Molecule: long non-coding RNA, 319 nt
Organism: Vigna angularis (adzuki bean)
Lineage: Eukaryota; Viridiplantae; Streptophyta; Magnoliopsida; Fabales; Fabaceae
Exons: 3
Source: RefSeq, a predicted model, not a curated record
UUUGUUGUUUUUGGUACAUGGACACAAUCGUUGUAGAACAAGGUCGGUCUUCCAUGUACGGAUUUGUUGAACCUCAGACCAUUCAACCGUUUGGUAACACACUUCAAAACAGACAACAUUAUUUGCAAACAUGGAUGGAUGAGUCAAAAAGAGACGUAUACCUUGUGCCAUACAUUGAUGGGUAGCAUGCACUGGCAGUUGAUGGUCAUCAUUCCCAAAGCAUGUAAAAUUAUAUGGUUUUGUUCGUUGCAUAGGAAGAUGAAAAAUGACUUGAGAACAAUGCUUCAAGGAGUUAUUGGUAAAUCAUGUGGUCAACUGG